UACGUAGGGUGCAAGCGUUAAUCGGAAUUACUGGGCGUAAAGCGUGCGCAGGCGGUUUCGUAAGUCUGUCGUGAAAUCCCCGGGCUUAACCUGGGAAUGGCGAUGGAGACUGCGAGGCUAGAGUUUGGCAGAGGGGGGUAGAAUUCCACGUGUAGCAGUGAAAUGCGUAGAGAUGUGGAGGAACACCGAUGGCGAAGGCAGCCCCCUGGGUCAAAACUGACGUUCAUGCACGAAAGCGUGGGGAGCAAACAGG
RNAcentral lists this ribosomal RNA (253 nucleotides) under uncultured bacterium. RNAcentral describes it as "partial 16S ribosomal RNA". It matches the Rfam family "Bacterial small subunit ribosomal RNA", at positions 524 to 776 of the family's 1533-position model. The record is from RNAcentral.